GGGGAUGUAGCUCAGUGGUACAGCACACGCUUGGCACACAUGAGGUCCUGGGUUUAAUCCCCUGUACCUCCA
Molecule: transfer RNA, 72 nt
Filed under: Camelus bactrianus (Bactrian camel)
Lineage: Eukaryota; Metazoa; Chordata; Mammalia; Artiodactyla; Camelidae
Also listed under: 2 other names
Rfam family: tRNA
About the family: Transfer RNA (tRNA) molecules are approximately 80 nucleotides in length. Their secondary structure includes four short double-helical elements and three loops (D, anti-codon, and T loops).
Source: Rfam by way of RNAcentral